UUACUUCCUUUCAUUUUAUUGAGUGUCAAUCUAUAUAAUUAAUAUAAAGUUUCUUCAUUCUAUGAAGAUCAAGACACCUUACAGUAUAAAAUUCCCUGAGAUAAAAUAUGCAAUUUGAGUGAUCACAUAAUUCUCUAUUCCAUUUACAUCAUAACCAAAAGGUAAUGGCAAUUCUUCUUCUUAUAAAACCCAGAAGAUAACAACCUUCUUUUCUCUCCCUCCACCCCAAUAUUUUAAGGCAUGGAAUAAAAACUUUUUCAAAAUGUAUUAAAGGAAACUUUUCUACUAAAAAUAGAAAAUAGCUUUCCCCAGUUUUUACAACUGGAUUGUAUACAUCAUCUGCAAUGCCUUGUGGAGUCUGGUACCCAAUGUACAAACCAGUUCAUUCAGGCAAACUUUACAUUUAUCACUGAACUAGAGCUCUACAAAAUGCAUUACAAAAGCCAGUCCUUUGCCUGAAACACUAUUAGCUCAUGGUGUGGAUGACCAAAAAUCAGAGAUCUAUAGAAAUUCUGAAAUGCUGACUUCUACAUCUAUAGGCCUGGGCUGAGUUUCCUCCCAAAUGGAAAGCCACAAAUUUGCAACAUCCAUGUAAGAAUGAUGAAAUUAGAAAAGACUUCUCUUCUCCCAGUGCAAGUGCUCUACAAUAAUUAUUACAAAUCUGCAGUUUUCACUGUACAGUUCUUGAAAAUUCUCAAUGCACAAUUUACAAAUACUGUGCAACUCUGACACUUUACCCAAAUGAUGCUUUAAUUGCUUUGUAGCACUUUUCUGAAUUUUACAAAAAUAUUACCUCAAAGAUUUCAACUCUUUUUUUUAGAGAGGCUGAGAAGAAAAUUAACAUUUGUGAUCUCUGGAAAUUCCCAUGCUCCUGCAGCCUAAUCUUCUGCAUGUGGCAUUACUAAUGAUUACACAGAAGAACUGUGUGCCUGGAAAUUUUCACAAAAUGCUAAAAAAAUUAGGAGGACUGAAAAAAAUUGCACUGAUUUCAGCAGACUGAUUAAAAGUAGUGUAAUCUUAAAUAUUAUUUCAUUACUUUUAAGAUUGGGGUUUUGUAUAUAGUCCUGCAAAUUUUGACAAAAAAUUAAUAGAAAAAAAAUACUAUACAUUCAAAGGAAAAGAGGGAACCUAUCAUCCUGACACUUGGGUAUUAUUCUUAAUACUAUACCUAUAUUGGAGUUUUAAAAAUAUCAAACCCAGUAUUAUGGGAGUAGUAACUACUGAUUGAAAAACAGAUGACCAUGCCAUUAAGAACACUCUUGUACUUUAAACAAUCACUUUAUACCUCUUAGAGUGAAAGUGCAGCAUUAGGAAUCAUCCCUACUAUAUUCCACAUUGCAUAGAUUGUUUUCACUCCCUUUGAGUAAAUAUUCUACAGCAGCUCUGGCACUGACAACAAAAAAUUCAUCAAGUACUUUCAGCCAACCCUCCUUGCACUAAAGCAGAAGGGAGUAAUUGGAGAAGCCUGCAAAAUCUGAACUGUUAAACUGUGCAAAUUGUUAAUGAACUUCAUUAUUAUUCCUUUUUUUUUCCAAUAAUCCUUGGCUCCAUGAGUAUCUCAUCAUGGGGAGUAUCUAAAUAGAAGUAAAUUACAGUAGACUGCCAGCUCAUAUAUCUUAAAAGCACUCAUCCAACAUCCCAUACUGCUUAAAUCAAAUUUAAUCCUUUCCUAACCUAAAUAUGACUCACAAAUGCCAGCAAGGUUGCCCAUCUUUUAUUUGCAACUGACUUUCUUCUUUUCCC
RNAcentral lists this long non-coding RNA (1743 nucleotides) under Taeniopygia guttata (zebra finch). RNAcentral describes it as "lncRNA (ENSTGUG00000021310.1)". Lineage: Eukaryota; Metazoa; Chordata; Aves; Passeriformes; Estrildidae. The record is from RNAcentral.